This 935-nucleotide long non-coding RNA is filed under the name Gallus gallus (chicken). RNAcentral describes it as "lncRNA (ENSGALG00010014757.1)". The record is from RNAcentral. Lineage: Eukaryota; Metazoa; Chordata; Aves; Galliformes; Phasianidae.
UUUUAACCAGAGAGCUAUUUAGGUGCUCUCUGUUUGUAUGUAUUUGUGAGGAAGGAGGAGACUGAAGCUGUGACCGACCUAGUAUGACUUUGUGCCUCUUUGUAGACUGUUUUUUCUCAUUUCGACAUCUGGGCUUUUCUUUCUCAAUGGAGAUUCCUGAAGACAGCUAAGACAUGAGCUUCCUUGCCACUGGCUGCCUGCAAGGUGGUUGGCACUGGGGUACUCAGACUGUAGUUCUAAACAAAGUGAUAUAAAAACUUUUUUUCCCAACCUGAAUUAUGCAAGGAGAAGAACAAGUAGUCCUUUCCAUCAGUGGAAACACAGCUGAAGGGAACGUAGGGCAGAGAGAAAAUGGACAGUACUCUGAAGGUGUACGCAGACUAGAGGAAUGUCUUCUACUAAUACUGCAUCUAUAUAAAAUGGCUGGAACAUACAGCCAAAUAUGGCCUUGGUCAAGCUGGACCCUUGAGAGAGUCUUCUCAUGCUGUCAAUAGAAGCAAAUACUACAGAGCAGAAGAGAGCUAACUGUCCCUUUGAUGCUGUAAAUGAUGACAGUGAAGAAAUCAGAGUGGGUAUAGCUGUGAACAUGGGCCAUAAAAGGCUGCAGCCACUGCCGGGAGCUUACUUUAGAAACUCACAGGGCAGAUCUCCAAGAUCACAGUGUCUGCCAGGCAGAAGAUGGUGAAAGCAUGAAACAGCCACAACCUUCUUCCAUGAGGGCAUGAGGCAAGAUGGUUAGAGACCGCAGAUGGCUCUUAUAUGAUGUUCAGUUUUGGGAAAUGAUAUGUCAGCCCCAUUGUCCAAGAUAUUUAACCGUCAAGAGAAGUAACAAUGCUCAUCAAGUAAUAUUAUGACAGACUGUAAGACAAUAAAAUGAAAUAAGUAUGGGGUGUAUGGGCUUUAUUUUAAGUGAAUGUGGAAAUUUAUAAUCUCCG